Molecule: unclassified non-coding RNA, 430 nt
Filed under: soil metagenome
Description: partial contains 5.8S ribosomal RNA, internal transcribed spacer 2, and large subunit ribosomal RNA
Rfam family: 5.8S ribosomal RNA (bases 1-120)
Source: RNAcentral
GAUGAAGAACGCAGCGAAAUGCGAUACGUAAUGUGAAUUGCAGAAUUCAGUGAAUCAUCGAAUCUUUGAACGCAUAUUGCGCUCUCUGGUAUUCCGGAGAGCAUGCUUGUUUGAGUAUCAGUAAACACCUCAACUCCCUUUUCUUUUUUGAAAUUGGAGCUGGACUUGAGUGAUCCCAACGCUUUCUUCCAAGAAAGUGGCGGGUUGCUUGAAAUGCAGGUGCAGCUGAACUUUUCUCUGAGCUAUAAGCAUAUCUAUUUAGUCUGCCUAAAAAACAGAUUAUUACCUUUGCUGCAGCUAACAUAGAGGAGACUAGUUCUUGUGCUGACUGAUGCAGGAUUCACAGAGACAGCUUCGGCUGACUUUGUAAACUCGAUCUCAAAUCAAGUAAGACUACCCGCUGAACUUAAGCAUAUCAAUAAGCGGAGGA